GACGAACGCUGGCGGCGUGCCUAAUACAUGCAAGUUGAGCGAUGAAGCUUGGUGCUUGCACCAAUUUGAAGAGCAGCGAACGGGUGAGUAACGCGUGGGGAAUCUGCCUUUGAGCGGGGGACAACAUUUGGAAACGAAUGCUAAUACCGCAUAACAACUUUAAACAUAAGUUUUAAGUUUGAAAGAUGCAAUUGCAUCACUCAAAGAUGAUCCCGCGUUGUAUUAGCUAGUUGGUGAGGUAAAGGCUCACCAAGGCGAUGAUACAUAGCCGACCUGAGAGGGGGAUCGGCCACAUUGGGACUGAGGCACGGCCCAAACUCCUACGGGAGGCAGCAGUAGGGAAUCUUCGGCAAUGGACGAAAGUCUGACCGAGCAACGCCGCGUGAGUGAAGAAGGUUUUCGGAUCGUAAAACUCUGUUGGUAGAGAGGAACGUUGGUGAGAGUGGAAAGCUCAUCAAGUGACGGUAACUACCCAGAAAGGGACGGCUAACUACGUG
RNAcentral lists this ribosomal RNA (497 nucleotides) under uncultured bacterium. RNAcentral describes it as "partial 16S ribosomal RNA". It matches the Rfam family "Bacterial small subunit ribosomal RNA", at positions 28 to 507 of the family's 1533-position model. The record is from RNAcentral.